RNAcentral lists this ribosomal RNA (826 nucleotides) under Mycobacterium sp. Its description in RNAcentral is "bacterial SSU rRNA". It matches the Rfam family "Bacterial small subunit ribosomal RNA", at positions 107 to 928 of the family's 1533-position model. Lineage: Bacteria; Bacillati; Actinomycetota; Actinomycetes; Mycobacteriales; Mycobacteriaceae. The record is from RNAcentral.
UGAGUAACACGUGGGCAAUCUGCCCUGCACUUCGGGAUAAGCCUGGGAAACUGGGUCUAAUACCGGAUAGGACCUUUAGGCGCAUGCCUUUUGGUGGAAAGCUUUUGCGGUGUGGGAUGGGCCCGCGGCCUAUCAGCUUGUUGGUGGGGUGAUGGCCUACCAAGGCGACGACGGGUAGCCGGCCUGAGAGGGUGUCCGGCCACACUGGGACUGAGAUACGGCCCAGACUCCUACGGGAGGCAGCAGUGGGGAAUAUUGCACAAUGGGCGCAAGCCUGAUGCAGCGACGCCGCGUGGGGGAUGACGGCCUUCGGGUUGUAAACCUCUUUCACCAUCGACGAAGGUCCGGGUUUUCUCGGAUUGACGGUAGGUGGAGAAGAAGCACCGGCCAACUACGUGCCAGCAGCCGCGGUAAUACGUAGGGUGCGAGCGUUGUCCGGAAUUACUGGGCGUAAAGAGCUCGUAGGUGGUUUGUCGCGUUGUUCGUGAAAUCUCACGGCUUAACUGUGAGCGUGCGGGCGAUACGGGCAGACUAGAGUACUGCAGGGGAGACUGGAAUUCCUGGUGUAGCGGUGGAAUGCGCAGAUAUCAGGAGGAACACCGGUGGCGAAGGCGGGUCUCUGGGCAGUAACUGACGCUGAGGAGCGAAAGCGUGGGGAGCGAACAGGAUUAGAUACCCUGGUAGUCCACGCCGUAAACGGUGGGUACUAGGUGUGGGGUUUCCUUCCUUGGGAUCCGUGCCGUAGCUAACGCAUUAAGUACCCCGCCUGGGGGAGUACGGGCCGCAAGGCUAAAACUCAAAGGAAUUUGACGGGGGGCCCGCACAA